CUCGGCCACCCCACCACCCCCCGCCUGCAGGAACAAGGCCCACUUCUCUCGGCAGGUCUCAGUGGACGAGGAGCGGGGUGGAGACAUCCAGAUGCUAGUGGAGGGCCGGGGAGGGGACUACGCCCGCAACAGCUGGGGCGAGGAGAAGGCGGGCGGCUCCAGGGGCGUCCGUGGCAGCGCCCUACGCAGCAGCCACCCCGCCGAGGACUUCCGCACCCGGAGCUCGGGCCACAAGCUGCCCGGGAACCCCAAGCCCCGGGAGCGGCGGACGGAGUCCCCCACCACGUUCUCGUGGACUUCCCACCACCGGGCCAGCAACCCCAGCUCCGGGGGUGCCAAGCUGCCCGAGCCCGACGAAGAGCAGCCCAGCACCUACAAGCUGGAGAUGAAGCCCCUGCUGAGGAUGGACUCGGGCCCCCAGGAGGUGCACCCCCAGAGGCGGCGCCACAGCCGGGGCGCGGGUGGCGAGCGGCGUGCCCCUGAGGACAGGGGCUUUGGGCUGCAGAGACUGAGGCCCAAGUCCCAGAGCAAGGAGAACUUCAGGCCGGCCUCCGCGGAGCCCACGGUGCAGAAGCUGGAGAGCCUGCGGCUGGGGGAGCGGCCCGAGCCCCGGCUGCUGCGUUGGGACCUCACCUUCUCCCCGCCCCAGAAGUCCCUGCCUGUGGCACUGGAGUCUGACGAGGAGACGGGGGAUGAGCUGAAGUCCAGCACGGGCUCGGCUCCCAUUCUGGUCGUCAUGGUGAUCCUGCUCAACAUUGGAGUUGCCAUUUUGUUUAUCAACUUUUUCAUCUGAUAUGAUUGUCUCGACCAACUGGUGUACCGAAGACCAUUAAAAGCAAAACAGCGGAGAGGGAAGAUCUAGCUUGGACAGCCCCACAACUCCCAAGUCUUUUCAUAGAAGAACACCAUGAUUGGGUAUUACUCACAGUUUGCCUUUUUUUCUGGGUAAUGUUUUUUGGAUUUUAGCCAAAAUUCCUCGCUUGUAAACACUCUGCUGUGUGGCAUGGCAGGAGGCGGCCGGCACGCCGACCCUCCAGCUGGACGUGGACAGGAGGGAUCCCGGCGAACCAGCAGCAAAAAAGAAAAGGUCAUCGCGUCGUUGCUGUCCUCACACUUCUGGUUGGGGGUGUGCAAGGUGGUGGCCUUGGGGGAGCCCAGCUAGCCAGGCCCAGGCGGGGUCGGGGGAGCAGCCGCCUUAGGGAAGUUGAGCCUUUCCCCUCUGGAAUAGCUGGUGACAGGUCCGGUGUGAGCACAGGAAGCGGGUCCCAGCCCAGCCGGGACAGCGCAGGCCUUUUCUACUCUAACUCUGUGCUGCACACUCCGGGGGGAGGAGGCCAGGCCUCUUGUCCCUCCAGGAACAGACCACGACGCCCUCCCUCUCGGCACUGCCCCGCGGCCUCCAGGCCGCCUCCCCACCGAGUCUUACAGCGAAGUCCCUACUCCUCCGCACACCCAUUGUUUGCCCCGUCCAGGGAGGCUGUGCGCGGAGCCCGGGGCUGACCCCGGCCCGGCCACUCUGCCGCACGCCUGGUCUCUGAGCAUGUGGCGACUUUGCACCUAGUAUGCAGGGUGUAUAUUCAGGCUUCUGUGUCCCUGGCAGUGACCCCGGUACGGGACGUCACCUCUCGCUGUUACUGACCUCCACGGGUUCUCACAUCUUUGUACUGUGCCUGCCUCGACUUCCCCUGACAGAUAUGCAUAUUCCCUCCAGAUGCCUCAGUGCUGCUCCAGAGCGGGUCUGGUCCCGGGACAGGAAUGUCAUUGACACCCAGUGGCUUGAAACUCCCCAGAAACUCUUGCAUAUCCCUGAUGUGCAAUGUAACUUGUUUCAGUCAGACACAAACAGUCCCUUCUGUUUCUGCCUCCUUCCCAGGGUUGCCCCAUUGCCCGGCCAGGCAGCCAGGGGUACAUGGGCCCUCGGCCCCGCUCUCGUGCGCACACACACGUGCGCGGGGCGGUCCAGGUGCAUCUGCGCGCGGGACCCUGCGCUCCUGCCCGAGGAGACCCUGGACGUGCCUCCCCGUCAGUCUUCUUGGGUACAGCCCGCCUCAUGGACUCUGCCUUGCUCUGCUUAUGUUUAGCUGUUUCUCUGCUACCUUUCGAGCAGAUUUCUUUACUACACUGCACUGGAUUGCUAUAUUUUUAACCAGAAAUAAACUAAAG
RNAcentral lists this long non-coding RNA (2163 nucleotides) under Cavia porcellus (domestic guinea pig). RNAcentral's name for it is "lncRNA (ENSCPOG00000033696.1)". Lineage: Eukaryota; Metazoa; Chordata; Mammalia; Rodentia; Caviidae. The record is from RNAcentral.